This is a long non-coding RNA of Pipistrellus kuhlii (Kuhl's pipistrelle), 1835 nucleotides long. RefSeq lists it as uncharacterized. The transcript has 5 exons. The record is from RefSeq and is a predicted model, not a curated record. NCBI's taxonomy places the organism in Eukaryota, Metazoa, Chordata, Mammalia, Chiroptera, Vespertilionidae.
AGGCGGGGGCCACCGCCGAGGGGGUUCUUGCCCCCCACUUUGCAACACGCACUUCUCCCCCCCCCCUCCCCAACCCUCCUCCCAGGCCAGGGCCACCGACCCAAAACGUGGCUAAAGGCGACCAGGCCGAGCUGUUGAGGAAUGCUGGGGUUUGGCGGCGGAAAGGAUGGGACCAGAGAGAGAUGGGGUGCGAAGGAGACCCCAGUAAGGGCAGGGCUUUGCAGGCAAAGAAGGGGAAGAAGAGGCCAAGAAGUCAAAGGCCAGGCUGUGAAGGAGAAUAAAGGAGGUCAAAGAGAGGUCGUAUCUUCGUGUGCCUCACUUCCUGACACAAACAAGUUUUCACUGUUGUAAGCAACAAAGCCCUAAUAUAGCUGCGGGGGGGAAAAGAAACCUGCAUCGCAUUUUUUGUUCUCCUGCAAAGCAUCAUUCACAGCUACGGAGCAAUGUAAUUCCAGAAAGCUUUAAAGCUGGUGGUGAUGGUAAUUAUGUAUCCAAUGCCCGAUUCUGUUAUUAUUGCCCUGUCAUUUCUGUUCUACCCAAGAGCUGGCUGAGCUCACAGAGGUACAGAUCAGGCUUUUCUUUUUGACCUGGUAAAAUGUAAUCGCACCUGAUGGAGAGAACCCAUUGCUCUUGGGGGGAAAUAAAAGUGGGAGCCGCGAAAUGUCAUUUUCACAGAGCGUGGGUUUUUGUGACUGUAGGGAAGGAUUGAAGGACGCUCCUUCUGUUCGGUUUUUCUAUGUCAGGAGCCUAGGCUGCUCGCGCACACAGACGCCACAGCUCCCGGAUGCUGCGGCUCCCUUAUCCGGGCUCGGGCAGCGCCGGGAGCCCCCCGCACCCCCCCCCCCCCCAGGACGCCGCGAGGGGCUGGCGGUGGGUGGUGGUGCGUGUGCCCAGCCCGCGGCCGCCAGUCCUGCCGCCGCCGCCGCCGCCGCUGCUGUUGUUGCCGCCGCCGCCGCCGCUGCUGCAGUCACGUGGGAGCCCCUUUAAGUUUCCAUAGAGAAGCCUCUCCGGUGUCACAUGAUGGACAUGAUAUAAUGAAACAACACCGUGGAGAGGGAGGCAUUCGGCGAGCCCACGGCUACGAAAACAAGUGAGUGCGGAGAGGUGGGAGGAAGAGAAACUACGCCACCGCCCCUGCAGCCGAGCCGCGCGCCGCCGCAGCGGCAGCAGCGGCAGCAGCAGCGGGGCGAGGGGAAGGGGCGCCGCCGGGGGCAGGCGGGGAGGCUGCGGGACCCGAUCCCCGGCCCCGGCCCGCAGACCCCGCCGCCCACCGCGGAGAGAGCGGCUCCCAGCUGCCCGCAGCCGGGCCCGCCCUGCACCUGUCUCCGGGGCCUCCGUCCUCCCCGUGACGAUCUAGGGGAAAUUCUAGAAGAAGACGCGCUGCAAAUACUACGUGCGCAUCGUUUUCUGAGGAAAGAGAAAGGGAUCUGAGCCGCCGCGGGUGCUCUGCCCCAAGCACCACCAAGCCUCCCUGGAAUGGCGCUGCUACUCGGUUCGCUGCUGGAGGGAAGAAGGAGGAUUUUGCCUCUUGUUUUCAGGCAGUUGUUUGACAGCGUUUAUUAAUGCUUUUCAGAGUCGGAAGAGGCGAUUGUUUUACCAUCUGGAGUUUCUGGGCCUGGCUGACCUGAGCCUAACCUGCCAGUUUAUGGGAGAUGAUAGACAACACUGGGAACAGCUGAUCAGGUGGAUUCCUGCAGCAGGGCUCCCUCCCACCUGCCACUGAGCCUUCUCUGUCCCCUGGCAACCGCCUGACGACCUCCUAGUUUUUCUCCUUUCGCACUGCCUGAGUCAUCUUUCCUGGUUUCACCUCUGUCAAACCGUCUUCCGUCAAAAGG